GACGAACGCUGGCGGCGUGCUUAACACAUGCAAGUCGAACGGAAAGGCCCUGCUUUUGUGGGGUGCUCGAGUGGCGAACGGGUGAGUAACACGUGAGUAACCUGCCCUUGACUUUGGGAUAACUUCAGGAAACUGGGGCUAAUACCGGAUAGGAGCUCCUGCUGCAUGGUGGGGGUUGGAAAGUUUCGGCGGUUGGGGAUGGACUCGCGGCUUAUCAGCUUGUUGGUGGGGUAGUGGCUUACCAAGGCUUUGACGGGUAGCCGGCCUGAGGGGGUGACCGGCAAAAGGGGGAAGGGGAAAGGGCCAAAACCAGUAGGGGGGGGAGAGGGGGGAAAAAUGAAAAAAGGGGGGGAGGCCGAAGGAGGAAACGCCGGGGGGGGGAGAAGGGCUUUGGGGGUGAAAACCGUUUUGCCGGGGAAGGAGGGGGGGGGGAGGGAAAGGGUAAAAGAAAAACGGGAAAAAAAGGU
RNAcentral lists this ribosomal RNA (467 nucleotides) under uncultured bacterium. RNAcentral's name for it is "partial 16S ribosomal RNA". The stretch from base 20 to 332 matches the Rfam family "Bacterial small subunit ribosomal RNA", at positions 47 to 358 of the family's 1533-position model. The record is from RNAcentral.